GGCCCCAUAGUCCAGCGGUUAGGACGCCGGGUUCUCAUCCCGGAAACCGGGGUUCGAUUCCCCGUGGGGUCA
RNAcentral lists this transfer RNA (72 nucleotides) under Nannocystaceae bacterium. RNAcentral describes it as "tRNA-Glu". It matches the Rfam family "tRNA". Rfam says of the family: Transfer RNA (tRNA) molecules are approximately 80 nucleotides in length. Their secondary structure includes four short double-helical elements and three loops (D, anti-codon, and T loops). Lineage: Bacteria; Pseudomonadati; Myxococcota; Nannocystales; Nannocystaceae. The record is from RNAcentral.